RNAcentral lists this ribosomal RNA (253 nucleotides) under uncultured bacterium. RNAcentral's name for it is "partial 16S ribosomal RNA". It matches the Rfam family "Bacterial small subunit ribosomal RNA", at positions 524 to 776 of the family's 1533-position model. The record is from RNAcentral.
UACGUAGGGUGCGAGCGUUGCCCGGAUUUAUUGGGCGUAAAGGGCUCGUAGGCGGUUUGUCGCGUCGGGUGUGAAAACACGGGGCUUAACCCCGUGCCUGCUUCCGAUACGGGCAGACUAGAGGUAUGCAGGGGAGAACGGAAUUCCUGGUGUAGCGGUGAAAUGCGCAGAUAUCAGGAGGAACACCGGUGGCGAAGGCGGUUCUCUGGGCAUUACCUGACGCUGAGGAGCGAAAGUGUGGGGAGCGAACAGG